Molecule: long non-coding RNA, 2858 nt
Filed under: Equus caballus (horse)
Lineage: Eukaryota; Metazoa; Chordata; Mammalia; Perissodactyla; Equidae
Description: lncRNA (ENSECAG00000057105.1)
Source: RNAcentral
CAGCCUUGUGAGACCCUAAACAGAGAACCGAGUUGAGCCAUGCCAGACUUCUGACCCACAGAAAUGGGAGAUAAUUCAUUUGUGUUCUUUUAAGUCACUGCAUUUAUGGUAAUUUGCUCUGCAACCAUAGAAAACUAAUGCAGUAACAGAAUAUGAUGAGUCUUUGUAUCUUAUGGGACCCAGGCCUCAGCUGUGGUGGGAGGCCCCAGCGUCCCGCGGACCUGGUGGUGUACAGCGGAUGCCAGUGGUAAAUGGUGAAGCAUGGUAAGGAAAGACUUGUGCAAUGUUGAACAGAAGUGAUGAGAAUGAACAUCCUUGCCUUAAUCCCAGUAUUGCAGGAAAGGAAUCCAUGGUUUACCAGAAAGAGCAUCAGAAACAGUUGGCUACACUAUAGCUACAUCCAGGAGUGGCCCUGAAGGACAGUGGAAAGGGCAAAUCUUUCUAAUAAGCAGAACUGUGAGUGGUGUACCCGGGCAUCUGUUUUGUGUAGAGGACUUGUUCCAGGUGAGAAUAUGUACUGUUUCCUGGGCAGUGGCUAAUGGCUUGGCCAUCUGUUCAAAAGCCUGGAUGGAAAAGGACUGGACAAUCGGAGCCAAGGAAGUCUGGUGUAGAGAGCCUCAGCCAGCACCACGAAAAGGACUGCUAUAGUAUCCAGCGACUUCAUGGUGGUGAAGGUGCGAGAGAGGGCUCAUGACAAAGGAACGCCCUGGUCUUAUCACAUACUACACCACGCUGCAGCCUCAUCCAUGACACCAGCCUCACGGAAUGGUGGAAUGGUCUUCUAAAGACACAGCUAAACUCAGCAAGACUGCUCUGGCCUGCCAAAGCCCCUGCUCCCGCAAUGUCCUCCAGCGCUUACCCCAGAAGGCAGGGCAAGUGUAGGGUCAGCUGGCUCGCCUCCCUCACUGAUCAUCCUUUGUGGCAGUUGUCCAAUGUCUGAGAAGCUGCUUCCCACAACUUUUUUCCUGGCUUCGUGGAACACGGAUAGUCAAUCUUUUGGAAGAUUAGCCCUGAGCUAACAUCUGCUGCCAAUUCUCCUCUUCCUGCCAAGGAAGACAGGCCCCGAGCCAACAUCUGUGCCCAUCCUCCUCUCCUUUUCAUGUGGGAUGCCUGCCACAGCAUGGCUUGACAAGCACUGCGUAGGUCCACAACCAGGAUCUGAACCAGCAAACCCAGGGCUGCAAAGCGGAGAAUGUGAACCUAACCCCUGUGCGACCUGACCAGCCCUUGAAAUUUCAAUCUUUUGAAGUUUGUUGAGAUGAUUUGUGAUCAAUCAUAUGGUCGGUUUUGGUAAAUGUUCUGAGGGUACCUUUAAAAACUAUGUAUUCUGAAAGUUUUGGAUGUUUUAUAUCGUCUUAUUCAUACGUACAGCACCAAUAUAUAGCAAAUAGCCGGAGCCCAAGGCAUACCAAAUUGACUAACUCAAAGGUUUUAUCCUAUUGUGGUGAUUCCAGACCAAGCAAGAGAGGAGGAGGAUGACAUCACAGGGGUGCAGGCAGAGAGAAAACUAUUCCAGGGAGCACGGACCUCACAGAGGAACCCCAAGUCACAGCAUUCAGGUUCCCCUAUUCCAACCAAUAUUAAUGCCAAUGCUUUAUGUGAUGUAAAUUAUCCCAAUGUUUUUCUUCCUCUGUUUCUACCAAUUUUCUCUUCAUUGGUUAUAAGCUCCGUAUCAAGAGUGUUUGACAGUGGGGUACUUGAGAUGGGAAAUAUCUUGGGAAAUCUUGAGAAAAGUUAAUGACGUUGAUUUAUAAAGCUCAUAGAGACAUAUAAGAAAUGGUUAAUUUUAUUUCUCCAUUUUUCUCCAAAAAUUCAUAAUUGCUUCUGAGAUUACAUGAGUUUAGAAGAUAUCUACUAUCUCUACCCAAAGGUCCCAUGUUUCAAGUAGAAUCAUUUUUAAUUUUCCCAGUUCUAGUGUCACUUUCUAUUUCUUACAAACAUUGCUCAAGGUCACAACUGUUAGUAACGUACAUCUUCUAACACAUUUAACUUCCCUAUCUAACCCUUCUGCCACUCUUGUGCUGGACCCUGAAAGUUUGAUUAUAGGAGGAAGCGAGGAAAGAGAUCUAGACAAGGCUGAUAGCACAUUCCGGAGGCUUAUAAGCUGCCUCGUGCGCCCCGCUGCAGAUCUCUUCAACCUCCGAGUCCAGCCACAGCUCUAGUGGACAGUUCUGGGCCGGUUUCACCCUGCUCUGUGCAGACAGUGCUGCCCUUCAGGGACCAAGAACCGAGCUUCCUGUCCCCAGGCUUCUCUGAUGCGGCACUGUGUGACGCUCUGGUACCAGGAGGCUCUCCUGUAUUUGCAACCCAUAGGGAUGGGGGAAUUAACGUCCCAUGGGAGCAGCCCUCAGCACACAGUACAGAGAAAUGCUUCCCCUGUUCGUCCCUCGGGCAGCCAGUUCUGAGAUAAAGUUUAAUAAGAAUCCUGAGGAGGUUCUGCGCUAAGUAACCACAACAGUAGCGGACCACGUGAUAACACGACCUUGUCUUGCCUGACUCUCUGCCCCCCCAGCUCCCUGCACUCCCCUCUCUCAUUCGUGCUCCUUAGGAUCACAUUCCCAAAGAGCAUGCAGCUACCUCUGUCUCAGGCUCUGCUUUCAAGAAUAACCUUGAUUAAGACAGGAGGUAAGUAGGUUGCUGGUAGGUUAUAUAAUGCAGGAAUACAAUCUGCCUUGACUCUGCACGUGCUACAAAGAAACACCUAGUCAGCUGGCAGCACAGUUUAUGGUAAUUUCGACGAUUUUCCAUCUUUUUCCUUUUUGAAAGUUCAUCAUCCAUCCUGAAGCCUGAUGGCCUGAAGAAAAAAAAGUUGGUACAAAUUAGAUUCUAAUUGAAUAGGCAAAUUUCUUUCAUGACAG